RNAcentral lists this long non-coding RNA (819 nucleotides) under Marmota monax (woodchuck). The record is from RNAcentral. Lineage: Eukaryota; Metazoa; Chordata; Mammalia; Rodentia; Sciuridae.
CUCCCCCAACCCUGGAUGCUUUCCUUUAAAUCUGUGUGUGUGUGUGUGUGUGUGUGUGCACAUGUGUGUGCAUGCACACACGCACGCACACAUGCAUUUGAGACUGAUUAUCAUUGUUUUCUAAAUGUGCCUUUGCUACCAUGUGGCUCUUAGCCUUAGGAUAGUCUUCCUUGUGAUUUACUUUUUUAUUAAGAUCAAAUCCAUGUAACAUAAAUUCACCAUUUAAAUUAUUUUAGUGAUAUUUUGCACAUUCACAAGGUUGUGCAAAGUCACCAGUAUCUAGUUUCUGAUCAUUUCCAUCACCCCAGAAUGAAGCCCUGUGCCAUUAGCAGUCACUUCCUAUUCCGCCCUUGCCCAGACCCUGGCAACCAUUAAUCUACUUUCUUUGCCUAAGGGUUUUCCUAUUCUGGACAUUUCUUAUAAAUGGAAUCAUGCAGUGCAUGGUGGUUUGUGAUGCGUUUCUUGAACUUGGUUUAAGAUUUCAAGGUUCACAGAGGUUGUACUUCCUUCCUUUUUGUGGUUGGAACAAAUUGUGAUUAUUCAUGUAUCUAUUGCUAAUGGGCAUUUUGGUUAUUGCUACUUUUUGGCUAAUAUGACUAAUAUUACUUCAAACAUUGUUUUAUGUGUGUUGACCUUAGGCUGUUCUUAAACCUUUGAGCUUUCCUACUUUGUUUAAAUUUUUUUUUUUCUUUACCACCGAGCUACAUCUCUACUCCUUUUGAUUUUUAAUUUUGAGACAGGGUCUCACUGAGUUGCUGAGCUAGCCUUGAAUUUGUGAUCUUCUUGCCUCAGUCUCCUGAGUCACUGAGUUGACAGUGC